GCUGUGGUAGCUCAGUGGUAGAGCACACCCUUGGUAAGGGUGAGGUCGAGAGUUCAAUCCUCUCUCACAGCACCA
This 75-nucleotide transfer RNA is filed under the name Hyphomonas sp. RNAcentral's name for it is "tRNA-Thr". It matches the Rfam family "tRNA". Rfam says of the family: Transfer RNA (tRNA) molecules are approximately 80 nucleotides in length. Lineage: Bacteria; Pseudomonadati; Pseudomonadota; Alphaproteobacteria; Hyphomonadales; Hyphomonadaceae. RNAcentral also lists the same sequence under 165 other names. The record is from RNAcentral.